AAAUGGCGCCCGACGAUAGCGGUGUUUCUAAAUCUACUCGAGUAUUUAAAUUGUGAAUUAAAACAUGUCCACCCGAAGCAAUCUAAGAAAAAUAUUUCGGAUAAGGCUGUACUAGCAACAUUCGUAUCUUCGAUUUUACAAACAGCCGUUUAGUUCUAAACGAAUCGUUCGAAAAGUCUAACGAAACGAGAAUAACGAUGACGUCAUUCUCGUUUAACUCGUUCGACUUUACGAACGUGCCCUAUAUUUAUAUAUAUUUACCGCGUCCCGGCCCCACGCGGCGAAAGAAAAAGUAUUUUCUGUCCCGACCGUGGCGAAAAUAAGUUUUAAGGUUUUUUUUUUACUCUCGAGUCGGGGUGGUCGGAAAAGGCGGAGAUUGGCAAAAAAAAAAAACUCGGAGAUCAAAUUUGACGCGGUUCCCGCGUUUUCCCGGUUACGUAUUCGUAAACGUAUUCUUAAUCGUACCCGCGGCCGUUCCCGGCGCCGCAAUGGGAGAGUGUUUGGAGCCAACGAACUUUGGCGUAAUAAACGUUGCGUCGCCCUCCGCGAAAAUGUCCGAGAACGGUGACGAAACCGUAAGUCUCGCCGAUCGAAAUCGUUCCGUGUCUUUUAAAACCGUUUUCGAACCGGUCCGAGUUUACUUUCGUCUUCCCGCAUGUAAUUCCGCCGUCCGCGGACCGGUGGAAAAAAUCCGAUUAAAAAUCGAAACCGGCAUCUAUAGUAAAGCUUAAUUUAAAAUGUUACGUACGCGUUUAAAUUUUAUAAAGGUUUUAGUUUUAACGAAACAAAGGCCACCUAAUGUUUACCGUAAAACCGUCCGAUUUGUCCUUUAUUUUCUCCGAAAGAUACCGCGGCCGUAGUUAUACCUCUGUUAUUAAUUGGUAUUAGUUAGCUCCGACCGGGAAUGGACCGAGUUACAAACCGAGUGGAAUCUAUAAACGUUUAUUUUUCACCUACCGCGACAAAUUUUGGGAACUGGUUUAGUUAAAUAAUAACGUCCUCGACGCGUAAUUUAACCGUAAACCGCUAUCCACCGGUUUCUUUACGUCGUCCUUCGAGUAUUAAGUAAAAAAAAAACCCGAAUACCGAGCAAAAUGUAUUUAAAAUUAAGUAAACUCCGAUAAAUAAUCCCGUACGUUAAAUGUAACGAAUGGCGCGAAAUUAAAACGAGUAAAUACGAAAUGGGAUUUAAGAUAAUUAUAUCGCGCACCGCGUGUAAAAAUUUAAAAGUUGUCGAUGGAAUAAUUAUACCGUAGCGAUAAACGUUUAUUUUUGUAUUUUACUGGUUUGUUUGUUACAUCUGGAAGCGCUUCGGAAUGUAAAGUUGCGGUUACUCGUUUGCCGGAAGAGACCGAAUGGCUUUCUUCUUUAUUCUAAUAAAUUUAAUACGUCUUUCUCAUUAAACAACACUCGUUUCUUCUAAGCAAUAAUAAAAAAUAAUACACGUUUAUCGACGAUAAAAGGAAACGUGCGAAAUAAAGGUUUCGAUACAUUUUAAAAAUUUUAUUAAAUUACGUAAAAAUGGUGAUAAGAUGAAUUAUCGACUUCUCCCAGUAAAAACAAACGUAAAAUAAUAAAAAGUCGCCGGUUUCGACGAUAAUGUUUACGGCUCGGUAAUAAAAACCUAAAACGAUAAACGACCGUACGAUUUGUCUAGCAAUUAUUUUUUUCCAAAAUUCGUGUUUAAUACGGUUUCGAUGGGCGUCCUUCUAUAUUUUUACUCGAAAUCGUUCGAAUUAAGAACGACAGAAAUCUGAUUUGAUAAUUUAAAACAAUAUUUCUCGCGACAUUAAUUAUUCUACUCGUCGAACAAACUUUUUUCUUUGUUAUUUCUUCGACCGAACCUUGCGGCGUGUCGUCGUCUCGUUAGCAGUUUUUUUAGAAAGAUCGUCUUAGUCGGCGCCAUUACUUCUAUAUUCUUAUAUUUAAAUUUCCGAAAUUUCGCGAGAAAGUUUGCUUAUAAGGGAGAUCGAUGCUAUUAAAUUUUGGUGGUUAAGGGUCGAGGGGCUGGAGAGAUAACGGGGGUCGAGUGUAUUCCCGCUUAAUGACGAUUUUACCGGCUAUUAGCAUUUGCAAUUUUUUUAUAAAACCCGUUCCUACUCUCAAAAUUCGGCUUUAAAAAUAUAAAAUAUGUUUUUAAUUUAAUAAAUUAUAAUAACGGAUGGCACCACCAAAAUUUUAAAUGUUGCCGGGAAAGUCGAGCGACUCGUCGCCGAUUUAUUUUUCUUCGGUUUUAUUAUUUGCCAUGCAUGGGUAUAAUUCCCCAAAUUCUAAGCUCCUAAUUUUAUCGACUUCUGUUUUAAUACGGCAGUCUUUGGUAACUGUUUACAAGUGUGUACUAAAUAAAGUUAUUCUAUCGAGGAUUGCUACGCCGUUGACGUCCGGCUAAGUUUCGUAUAUGUUCGCGUAUAAAAUUGAUACAAAUUUUUAUUAUAUAAAUUAUAUAAAGUAAUCUUUAUAAAAUUCGGUCGGAGUUGCUUUUAAGGAAACUCCCUAAUUCUUGUUUGUUUGCCGUUUGUCUCGAGUGUCGACUCGCUCCUAAAAUGUUUGCGCCACGUCUCGUUAAGUUUGGGUACGGAAUGUACCGAUUCGAAAUACAACGAUGGUUUACUGGUUAAUAUUGACUCCUAAUUCGAUGACCAAAAACACCACGAAACAAACGCUCGCUUGAAAAGCCAACGUUUUCCUUCGUUUAUAAAGAAAAUUGUCGGGCCGGAGUGAAAGAUGGAACUGCACGAUUUUUGAAUGGUUCGGAACUUCUGUGCUGCCGCUGCCGAUUGGAAGAUAAGCCAUCGCAUCUACGUCGUAUAUAUAAUCCGGUAGGAAUUAAUAACGUAAAUCUUGCAAUUCCUACAGGAUUAUAUAUACGUGUUCGUCUAUCGGCAGUGGCGACGUGGAAGUUUCAAACCGUCCGGAAAUCGUGGGAUUCCGUAUUAGAACUCCAGCCUGAUGAUUUCCUUUACAAACGGAUGAAAACAUUUGCUUUUCGAGCCAGUGGUUUUUUUUUAAGUUAGGAGUUUUAUUAAUAUACUGAUUUUGAUUAGUUGAUUUAUAUUGCCUCUAAUUUUCCUCGGCUGCAAUAUAGCCUAUGAUUUUGUGGAUCGUAAAACAAAAACUGCACGCCUAUAAACUGGAACUGUAUUACUCAAAGAAAUAACAUCUAAACACAAUUUUUCGGCCGCAAUUCAUUGGCUCUCGUUGGGAACAAAUACAAAAAAUCAAUUGAAUAUUGUUGCGUUCUAAUUUUUUAAAACUUUCAAAAACAUGUUCGAAUGAGACCGUGAUGCGGAGUUUACGUCAUAAAUAAAAUGAGCAAUUUUUUUACAAUGUAUAAUGUUAAAAAUGAAAUUAUUAAUAAAAUUAAAUUUUAUGGCAGUCUAAAUAAUAUUUCCAGGCUUGUGUUACUGGAAUGUAGUCUGUGUUGAUGCGAUUUAUGUUCUUGUCGGCUCUGUAAAUCUCUAAGGCCUCCGUCGAUCUCGUGUCCUGUCGGUCGGAGACCCCGCGCACGAGGGUGGUCUCGUCCCGACGGGGAGAAACCCCCGGUUCGGUGGCGUAACGGGCCCGAGCGGUAUUAACGUUUUCCUUUGUUACGUCGUAUCCGUGUUUGCGUAACCUGGCUCGAAGAGGUCCGUAUUUGGAUCCGAUGUAUAUCUUCUAACUGUCGUAAGACGAGUUCGCAAAGAUUCCCAAAAUGUAGGUGCGCGAGCUCCAAUAUCUGGGAAUGGAAAGUCUGAGCAUUAGGGGUAGUGCUGAGAAAAAGUUCUUAAAGCGCAAAAACAUGGCUCUAAACGAAUGAAGGGAAACGUGAAUACAAAAUCAAACAUUUCCAUUUAAAUUAAUAUUCAAAAGUUUGGAGAGAAGUGCGCGAAUUGGAGACCGCACGGUUUCCAAUUCGCACACUUCUAACCACCAGCUUAAUACAUAUACCUAUACAGGUAUAUGUGCUAAGCUGAUGGUUUACGAGUGAUGGAUCCAUUUUUCUAAUAAGAAUGUUGGGGAUCUGGGUUUAUUGAUUGUGCGGCAUAAUUGUCUAUCGGGUUUGUGUGUUUUAGCAAAAGCAAAAAGACUGGGAUUUUGGGGGAGCUAACUGUUGUAUGCCGAAGGUCUAAUGCCUCUGCUAGACCAGUGUGUGUAAACUUACCAAAAUGACUUUGUAGUUUCGUUAUAUAAGAGGCGUCAGAGAGCUGACAUUGUGUGUCUACUGUAUAUUGUUGUAAUAGAUCGACAUAAGUGGCCCUAUUUGUGAUUACAAUUGCUUUGCUUUUAUCAGCCUUCACCAAUGUGAUGUCGUUGGAUCUGAGCCAACUUUUACUGAACUUGGAUGUGAUGUAGUUUCAGAAUUUAUAAACUUCAGACUCCAGUAUGUGUUCUUCAAUUGCAAAUAGGAGAAAACACAGCAUUUCAAACACUAAAGACAGUACAGAUGAUGCAAGAGCAUCAGGCUUUUACCAUAUCCCAUUACAAGAUGGAUGGUUUAACAGGAGACUGAUGUUUGUUUUUCAAGGAUUGGUUAUUGUAGUUUCACGGUAUUGAAUUUGCUUCUUUUAAAGGUAAUGAAAAUAAAGACAGAACAAUUACUUAUUGAGUCAUUCAGCAAAUGCAUUGUUUUUUGUAAAUAACAGUAAAGCAGAGGAAUACCAGAAAUUAAAUUUUGAAUUAGCCAGAAUGGCCGAUAUUAGAAGACUUCAAGAAAUUUAAGAAUUAGUCAUCAAUAAUAUGGUUACAAGAUGAAUUUUUAAGUCUGCAAAAAGAAAUGAAAUUGACACUAGAAGAAAACAAGGCAAUUAAUAAUAAAAGUGUAGAAGCCAUCGAAAAAGCUAACAAAAUGGUUCAAAAGCAGCAGAAAGAAAUUGAAGAAUUAAAAAUGAAAGUAAGUGAUGAAUCAA
Molecule: RNA transcript, 4886 nt
Organism: Centruroides sculpturatus (bark scorpion)
Lineage: Eukaryota; Metazoa; Arthropoda; Arachnida; Scorpiones; Buthidae
Gene name: RB1-inducible coiled-coil protein 1-like
Exons: 3
Source: RefSeq, a predicted model, not a curated record